Molecule: long non-coding RNA, 2445 nt
Filed under: Triticum aestivum (bread wheat)
Lineage: Eukaryota; Viridiplantae; Streptophyta; Magnoliopsida; Poales; Poaceae
Description: long non-coding RNA (TAES_LNC023752)
Source: RNAcentral
ACUGUUUGUGUCACCCCGGCUCAGAGAAAACCGGAAUGCCCCGUAUUCCAGCCCAGAGAUCGAGAAGUCUUCUGGAAUACGGCACUGCUCAGCAUAGAACAAACCAGCUUUCUAUUAUUACACGAAUAUGAAUACAAGGUCUCCGAUAUUACAAUAAAUAACCUCGGUACGGCGACACUACGCCUGCCACUGUUGUUCUAUGCAAGCAGCAGAACAACUCGAUGCAGCGGAAGAACUCUAGCAGCGGAACAACGACGACGAUGGUGAACUCCACUCCGCAGGGACUCUGGCUGCAAUGCUUAUCCUAGCUCGCACGAACAGAAACCACGACAAGCAAGCAAUCAAAUCCGGCAUGACCUGCAAACUGGCUUGACACGCCAGGUCAGUACAUUGAAUGUACUUGCAAGCUCACAAUAAACCAGAAGCAUUCAAGGCAGACAACAUCAUGGCAAUUACAGGUUAGGCAGAAUUUAACAUGAUAUCAUCAGAACAAUAUAGCAUGAACAACUUGAACAUGAUACACUUAACACAACAUGAACAUGGCAUGAACAUAUUAAUACGACAACACUAUCAUGCAACAUGAUGUCACUAGAUGCACCACUUAUUCUGCUCGGGCUACCUUGUAACCAUCACAUGCAUCACUUACCGACCUCGGACAUCACACAAUCAUCUUAGGAUCAAAUCAAGCUUGGUAUAAACAAUACCGUAGUAAUCAUUAAAUGACCACAAGGAGCUUGAUCUUUACUCGCACAACAUCAUGAAUAUACAACAACUCGGUAUCCUCGAUACCACCGUGGUCCUUGCGGCGAUCACAACCCGACCAACACUUGGCCCGUGAUCCUUACAGCGAUCACAACCCGACCUACACUUGGACCGUGAUCCUUACGGCGAUCACAACCCGACCAACACUUGGCCCGUGAUCCUUACGGUGAUCACAACCCGACUACUAAAUGGUCCGUGAUCCUUACGGCGAUCACAACCAACUUAUCUCAUUGUUAUUAAGCACAUUAUUCUUAUUACUGUUGACCUAUGGGGUGACCUACUUUCGACCUGGGCCCUUAUCCGCGGGCGCGGCUAUCGAUAGAUUUAAUAUACACUCUGCAGAGGUUAGUACAUUGUACCCACACUACGGAACCCAUGGCCUCGCACUCCCAUUCGGGUGGACCAACGGUGUUCCGACAAAACCGAUCUACUGCCAUGACACUCUCCCGGCCACUCCGACCAACUCCCCUCUGGGCUAAGUAAUGGGUGGCCCCGUGUCUACCUCAAGACACAACGACCACCGUCGUGGCCCGUCCCACUCUGGGACCCGGAUCCAAAAACUAACUCAACAACGGGCACACAAGGCUUAUGUCCGCCUACCUGAUCAGGGUAGCGCGUGCCCAUAACCUUCCCUUGUUGGAGGCACCGGCGAGAGGCACGAUAAUAGACCCAGUUAGGACCGUCCCAUACCGGUAAGCGUGGUUGCACUGGUCAGCAUCGAUUCAGUGGCACCAUGACUCAGCCAACAGUUGUUCAAGUUCAAUUUAAUCCGGUUAACUUGAAUGCAAAUAUACUGAGCCAUGAUAAAAUACAUGAACAUGAUAUCAACAUAAUCAUGAGGGUAUCGCAUAACUAUCCACCAUAUCAAUAAUAAAUCAUAUCCACUUAGCAUGGCAUAUUGACUAGCAUGACCAUCACCAACAUCAACAUGUACCACUAGCAAUCAUAAACAUAUGAAAGGAGAUACUAGCAGGUAGAACAUGAUAAUAGAGUACAAGACAACAUAGCACAAAAGUGAACAUGCAACUCUAAACAUUACCAGAACAGCGAUAACCAUCUUUUCAACAAGCAAACAUUUAGUAAAGAUUCAAGUUGAAAACCAUGGCUACUGCAUGAAUAUCAUGCAAUUGGGUAUUGUGGCUUGCCUGGGAUGAAGAGGCACCGGGGAGAAGUGCGGUGAAGCCGCGGAAAGAUUUGCCGGAAACAGUUCUCUCUCGGAGGGGGCUGUUUACGUGCAUGGACAAAAAGGUCAUUUUCACAGUGUCAAACCAUAGUGAAAAUGAAACCAACAGAAAGAGCUCGACGAUACGAAGAAGUGAGCGUUGGAUUCACCUUAAACGGAGUUACGGUUGCGGAGUUAUGAGAUGUAGAAGAUCAGGGACCAAUCUGUGAAUAUUUUCAUCACCAACGGGUCCCUGGGAGGAAAAACUAAAGCGCAUAGGGAUAAAUGCGUUUUCUGAAAGUGAAAAGGUAUUCCGAACCGAAGUAGAAGGAAAUUACGUUUUCACAAAAGAAAAUCGUACCCUGGUUAAACCCGUCUCCACUUAUCCACGUGGGCUGAGGCGCCUGGGACACUGGCGCGUGGGACCCAGGGGCAGGGGGAGGGGGCCAGCGAGGUCGUCCUCUUCCUCCCGCGCCUCUAUUCCUCCCGUGGAACAGAGCGGGGCAGGGGAAGGAAGCGAC